Otolemur garnettii (small-eared galago) is the source of this 107-nucleotide small nuclear RNA. The record is from Ensembl. Lineage: Eukaryota; Metazoa; Chordata; Mammalia; Primates; Galagidae.
GUGUUUGCUUCGGCAGCACAUAUACUAAAAUUGGAACGAUACAGCGAAGAUUAGCAUGGCCCCUGCGCAAGAAUGACAUGCAAAUUCAUGAAGCGUUCCAUAUUUUG